Molecule: ribosomal RNA, 439 nt
Filed under: uncultured bacterium
Lineage: Bacteria
Description: bacterial SSU rRNA
Rfam family: Bacterial small subunit ribosomal RNA
Source: RNAcentral
CCUACGGGCGGCAGCAGUGGGAAUAUUGGACAAUGGGCGAAAGCCUGAUCCAGCAAUGCCGCGUGUGUGAAGAAGGUCUUAGGGUUGUAAAGCUCUUUCACCGGUGAAGAUAAUGACGGUAACCGGAGAAGAAGCCCCGGCUAACUUCGUGCCAGCAGCCGCGGUAAUACGAAGGGGGCUAGCGUUGUUCGGAAUUACUGGGCGUAAAGCGCGCGUAGGCGGAUAGAUAAGUCAGAGGUGAAAUCCCGGGGCUCAACCCCGGAAUUGCCUUUGAUACUGUUUAUCUUGAGUGCAGAAGGGGUAAGUGGAAUUCCGAGUGUAGAGGUGAAAUUCGUAGAUAUUCGGAGGAACACCAUUGGCGAAGGCGGCUUACUGGUCUGCAACUGACGCUGAGGCGCGAAAGCGUGGGGAGCAAACAGGAUUAGAUACCCCAGUAGUC